GGGCGAUUAGCUCAGUUGGUAGAGCAGCUGACUCUUAAUCAGCGGGUCGGGGGUUCGAGUCCCCCAUCGCCCUCCA
Molecule: transfer RNA, 76 nt
Filed under: Alphaproteobacteria bacterium
Lineage: Bacteria; Pseudomonadati; Pseudomonadota; Alphaproteobacteria
Also listed under: 1 other name
Description: tRNA-Lys
Rfam family: tRNA
About the family: Transfer RNA (tRNA) molecules are approximately 80 nucleotides in length. Their secondary structure includes four short double-helical elements and three loops (D, anti-codon, and T loops). Further hydrogen bonds mediate the characteristic L-shaped molecular structure. tRNAs have two regions of fundamental functional importance: the anti-codon, which is responsible for specific mRNA codon recognition, and the 3' end, to which the tRNAs corresponding amino acid is attached (by aminoacyl-tRNA synthetases). tRNAs cope with the degeneracy of the genetic code in two manners: having more than one tRNA (with a specific anti-codon) for a particular amino acid; and 'wobble' base-pairing, i.e. permitting non-standard base-pairing at the 3rd anti-codon position.
Source: RNAcentral